This 425-nucleotide ribosomal RNA is filed under the name uncultured bacterium. RNAcentral's name for it is "partial 16S ribosomal RNA". It matches the Rfam family "Bacterial small subunit ribosomal RNA", at positions 354 to 796 of the family's 1533-position model. The record is from RNAcentral.
GUGGGGAAUAUUGGACAAUGGGCGAAAGCCUGAUCCAGCAAUGCCGCGUGAGUGAUGAAGGCCCUAGGGUUGUAAAGCUCUUUUACCCGGGAUGAUAAUGACAGUACCGGGAGAAUAAGCUCCGGCUAACUUCGUGCCAGCAGCCGCGGUAAUACGAGGGGAGCUAGCGUUGUUCGGAAUUACUGGGCGUAAAGCGCGCGUAGGCGGUUUUUUAAGUCAGAGGUGAAAGCCCGGGGCUCAACCCCGGAAUUGCCUUUGAAACUGGAAAACUAGAAUCUUGGAGAGGUCAGUGGAAUUCCGAGUGUAGAGGUGAAAUUCGUAGAUAUUCGGAAGAACACCAGUGGCGAAGGCGACUGACUGGACAAGUAUUGACGCUGAGGUGCGAAAGCGUGGGGAGCAAACAGGAUUAGAAACCCGAGUAGUCC